CCUACGGGUGGCUGCACUGGGGAAUAUUGGACAAUGGGCGAAAGCCUGAUCCAGCCAUGCCGCGUGUGUGAAGAAGGCCUUCGGGUUGUAAAGCACUUUCAGUGGGGAAGAAAGCCUUGGGGCUAAUACCCUCGAGGAAGGACAUCACCCACAGAAGAAGCACCGGCUAACUCCGUGCCAGCAGCCGCGGUAAUACGGAGGGUGCGAGCGUUAAUCGGAAUUACUGGGCGUAAAGCGCGCGUAGGCGGUCUGAUAAGCCGGUUGUGAAAGCCCCGGGCUCAACCUGGGAACGGCAUCCGGAACUGUCAGGCUAGAGUGCAGGAGAGGAAGGUAGAAUUCCCGGUGUAGCGGUGAAAUGCGUAGAGAUCGGGAGGAAUACCAGUGGCGAAGGCGGCCUUCUGGACUGACACUGACGCUGAGGUGCGAAAGCGUGGGUAGCAAACAGGAUUAGAUACCCGAGUAGUC
This 465-nucleotide ribosomal RNA is filed under the name Vreelandella stevensii. RNAcentral's name for it is "partial 16S ribosomal RNA". It matches the Rfam family "Bacterial small subunit ribosomal RNA", at positions 338 to 795 of the family's 1533-position model. Lineage: Bacteria; Pseudomonadati; Pseudomonadota; Gammaproteobacteria; Oceanospirillales; Halomonadaceae. The record is from RNAcentral.